AAUUUUACCCAUAAGAUGAAUAAAUGGGAUGACCGUGAUUUGAAAUCAAACUCCCUACAUAUAUAUAAUGCAAUGUCUCUGUCAACUGAGCUAAGCUCACUUUUUCUUCCAUUUUACUAUCAAUGUUUUAUUUCUCUUUUCGUUUGUUUUUCUUUUAUUUUUUUAUUGUUUUCUUUAAUAAGAGUCUCACAUCGGUUGCGAGAUGACCUGAAUAUGUGUUUAUAUACUAGAGGCAAUCAUCACCUUACAAGCCGGAUUUGUAGGGUUGAAUUAGGCCCAAUACCCAUUUCUAAGAAAUAGCAAAAUUUUUUUUCUUUUCUUUCUUUAAUAGCAAGUUGAUCGGGGCAUUAUCAUUCAGAUUGCUAGCGGAUAUUACAAAAUAUCCUAUCAACAAAAUUUCAUGAUUAAUUAAUUUUCAAUCUUAAUCAGUGAUGGUGGCCGGU
Molecule: long non-coding RNA, 443 nt
Filed under: Trifolium pratense (red clover)
Lineage: Eukaryota; Viridiplantae; Streptophyta; Magnoliopsida; Fabales; Fabaceae
Description: long non-coding RNA (TPRA_LNC012942)
Source: RNAcentral